This 496-nucleotide ribosomal RNA is filed under the name uncultured bacterium. RNAcentral's name for it is "partial 16S ribosomal RNA". It matches the Rfam family "Bacterial small subunit ribosomal RNA", at positions 29 to 507 of the family's 1533-position model. The record is from RNAcentral.
AUGAACGCUGGCGGCGUGCCUAAUACAUGCAAGUCGAGCGAACAGACGAGGAGCUUGCUCCUCUGACGUUAGCGGCGGACGGGUGAGUAACACGUGGAUAACCUACCUAUAAGACUGGGAUAACUUCGGGAAACCGGAGCUAAUACCGGAUAAUAUAUUGAACCGCAUGGUUCAAUAGUGAAAGACGGUUUUGCUGUCACUUAUAGAUGGAUCCGCGCCGCAUUAGCUAGUUGGUAAGGUAACGGCUUACCAAGGCAACGAUGCGUAGCCGACCUGAGAGGGUGAUCGGCCACACAGGAACUGAGACACGGUCCAGACUCCUACGGGAGGCAGAGGUAGGGAGUCUUCCGCAAUGGGCGAAAGCCUGACGGAGCAACGCCGCGUGAGUGAUGAAGGUCUUCGGAUCGUAAAACUCUGUUAUUAGGGAAGAACAAAUGUGUAAGUAACUAUGCACGUCUUGACGGUACCUAAUCAGAAAGCCACGGCUAACUACGUG